RNAcentral lists this ribosomal RNA (253 nucleotides) under uncultured Eubacteriales bacterium. Its description in RNAcentral is "uncultured Clostridiales bacterium partial 16S ribosomal RNA". It matches the Rfam family "Bacterial small subunit ribosomal RNA", at positions 524 to 776 of the family's 1533-position model. Lineage: Bacteria; Bacillati; Bacillota; Clostridia; Eubacteriales. The record is from RNAcentral.
UACGUAGGGGGCGAGCGUUAUCCGGAUUCACUGGGCGUAAAGGGAGCGCAGGCGGCACGGCAAGUCCGGUGUGAAAGCCCGGGGCCCAACCCCGGGACUGCACUGGAAACUGUGAAGCUGGAGUGCAGGAGAGGUAAGCGGAAUUCCUGGUGUAGCGGUGAAAUGCGUAGAUAUCAGGAGGAACACCGGCGGCGAAGGCGGCUUACUGGACUGUAACUGACGUUGAGGCUCGAAGGCGUGGGGAGCAAACAGG